This 253-nucleotide ribosomal RNA is filed under the name uncultured bacterium. RNAcentral's name for it is "partial 16S ribosomal RNA". It matches the Rfam family "Bacterial small subunit ribosomal RNA", at positions 524 to 776 of the family's 1533-position model. The record is from RNAcentral.
UACGGGGGGGGCAAGCGUUGUUCGGAAUUACUGGGCGUAAAGGGCUCGUAGGCGGCCAACUAAGUCGGACGUGAAAUCCCCAGGCUCAACCUGGGAACUGCGUCUGAUACUGGAUGGCUUGAAUCCGGGAGAGGGAUGCAGAAUUCCAGGUGUAGCGGUGAAAUGCGCAGAUAUCAGGAGGAACACCAAUGGCGAAGGCAGCACUCUGGGACGUGACUGACGCUGAGACGCGAAAGCGUGGGGAGCAAACAGG